UAGAGUUUGAUCAUGGCUCAGAUUGAACGCUGGCGGCAUGCCUUACACAUGCAAGUCGAACGGCAGCACGGGAGCUUGCUCCUGGUGGCGAGUGGCGAACGGGUGAGUAAUACAUCGGAACGUACCCAGGAGUGGGGGAUAACGUAGCGAAAGUUACGCUAAUACCGCAUAUUCUGUGAGCAGGAAAGCGGGGGAUCGCAAGACCUCGCGCUCUUGGAGCGGCCGAUGUCGGAUUAGCUAGUUGGUGAGGUAAAAGCUCACCAAGGCGACGAUCCGUAGCAGGUCUGAGAGGAUGAUCUGCCACACUGGGACUGAGACACGGCCCAGACUCCUACGGGAGGCAGCAGUGGGGAAUUUUGGACAAUGGGGGCAACCCUGAUCCAGCCAUGCCGCGUGAGUGAAGAAGGCCUUCGGGUUGUAAAGCUCUUUCGGCGGGGAAGAAAUGGCAACGGCUAAUAUCCGUUGUUGAUGACGGUACCCGCAUAAGAAGCACCGGCUAACUACGUGCCAGCAGCCGCGGUAAUACGUAGGGUGCGAGCGUUAAUCGGAAUUACUGGGCGUAAAGCGUGCGCAGGCGGUUUCGUAAGACAGACGUGAAAUCCCCGGGCUCAACCUGGGAACUGCGUUUGUGACUGCGANNNNAGAGUACG
RNAcentral lists this ribosomal RNA (650 nucleotides) under uncultured Veillonellaceae bacterium. RNAcentral's name for it is "bacterial SSU rRNA". It matches the Rfam family "Bacterial small subunit ribosomal RNA", at positions 1 to 650 of the family's 1533-position model. The record is from RNAcentral. Lineage: Bacteria; Bacillati; Bacillota; Negativicutes; Veillonellales; Veillonellaceae.